CCCGAAUGGGGAAACCCAGUGUGACUCGUCACACUAUCAUUAACUGAAUCCAUAGGUUAAUGAGGCGAACCGGGGGAACUGAAACAUCUAAGUACCCCGAGGAAAAGAAAUCAACCGAGAUUCCCCCAGUAGCGGCGAGCGAACGGGGAGGAGCCCAGAGCCUGAAUCAGCAUGUGUGUUAGUGGAAGCGUCUGGAAAGGCGCGCGAUACAGGGUGACAGCCCCGUACACAAAAGCGCAUGUGCUGUGAGCUCGAUGAGUAGGGCGGGACACGUGGUAUCCUGUCUGAAUAUGGGGGGACCAUCCUCCAAGGCUAAAUACUCCUGACUGACCGAUAGUGAACCAGUACCGUGAGGGAAAGGCGAAAAGAACCCCGGCGAGGGGAGUGAAAAAGAACCUGAAACCGUGUACGUACAAGCAGUGGGAGCACAGGUUUACCUGUGUGACUGCGUACCUUUUGUAUAAUGGGUCAGCGACUUAUAUUCUGUAGCAAGGUUAACCGUAUAGGGGAGCCGGAGGGAAACCGAGUCUUAACCGGGCGUUAAGUUGCAGGGUAUAGACCCGAAACCCGGUGAUCUAGCCAUGGGCAGGUUGAAGGUUGGGUAACACUAACUGGAGGACCGAACCGACUAAUGUUGAAAAAUUAGCGGAUGACCUGUGGCUGGGGGUGAAAGGCCAAUCAAACCGGGAGAUAGCUGGUUCUCCCCGAAAGCUAUUUAGGUAGCGCCUCGUGAAUUCAUCUCCGGGGGUAGAGCACUGUUUCGGCUAGGGGGCCAUCCCGGCUUACCAACCCGAUGCAAACUGCGAAUACCGGAGAAUGUUAUCACGGGAGACACACGGCGGGUGCUAACGUCCGUCGUGAAGAGGGAAACAACCCAGACCGCCAGCUAAGGUCCCAAAGUCAUGGUUAAGUGGGAAACGAUGUGGGAAGGCCCAGACAGCCAGGAUGUUGGCUUAGAAGCAGCCAUCAUUUAAAGAAAGCGUAAUAGCUCACUGGUCGAGUCGGCCUGCGCGGAAGAUGUAACGGGGCUAAACCAU
This 1037-nucleotide ribosomal RNA is filed under the name Salmonella enterica subsp. enterica serovar Rissen. Its description in RNAcentral is "partial 23S ribosomal RNA". It matches the Rfam family "Bacterial large subunit ribosomal RNA", at positions 113 to 1190 of the family's 2925-position model. The record is from RNAcentral. Lineage: Bacteria; Pseudomonadati; Pseudomonadota; Gammaproteobacteria; Enterobacterales; Enterobacteriaceae.